Molecule: long non-coding RNA, 5525 nt
Organism: Corvus hawaiiensis (hawaiian crow)
Lineage: Eukaryota; Metazoa; Chordata; Aves; Passeriformes; Corvidae
Exons: 11
Source: RefSeq, a predicted model, not a curated record
GCUGAGAGCAAGAAGCAAUCUACUGUGUCUCUCCAUGACAUGCUUCUUCUGAAUGAAUCAGGAGGUCAUGGUGACUCUUGUAGUGAUGGUCACUGCUGGAGCUGGAGGAGGUAAUGGCAUUGAAGGGAGAGCCUGUGGCUGUUUCCAGAAAUGAGCAUGAGGCCUGUGACAAGGACAGCCCAGGCUGCUGGUAUAUGUGAUGGGGAGAGGAAGGUCUGCACACACCGGGGAGGCUGGCAAAGGAGAAAGGUGAUUAAGCUGGACUCAUAGACAUUUAGUUUUUAAUUUUAAGAAAAAGCUUUCCCACGGCAAUGGAGUGCACAGUUUCAAGACAAAUUCCAGCCUAGGAAAGAUGUAUGGACUGGCACAGAAAGUGUGAAAUAUCACAUGAGCUCUGCUGACAAGUCAGUACAGUUGUAAGAAGUCAAUGUAGCAUCAGCUGACAUGUGGGAGAAGAAAACCACAAACAAAUGUUUCUCUCUGCAGAGCAUUUCCAGCACACCUUAAUUCUGUGAAAGACGCUGGCAUGAGUUCCCAAUGCACAAGAACUGGAUGAAAAUGAACCAAUUUGCCAUUACUAUUUUUUCAAACACCUGGAUGCGUUGCCUGAGUGCAGGGAAGCUUGGCCAAGGUCAUGAUUAUUCUCUUCCUGAGACUGGGAUGUUCAACAGAGAAGAGUUCAGCUACUGGCAUCACAUCAACCACCUCAUGACCUGUGGUGAGUUUGAGCUCAAUAACACCUACAGAAGAGGCAGCUUCAUUGCAAAGGCAGAGUUGAGAUGUUCACUAAAUCCCAGCCAGAUACAAAUCUUCACAGAGUGCAGGUGACAGGGCAGCUUGAUGGGCAGCUUGAUGUUUAUGAAGGAAGAUUUUGCCUUGAAGCUCGGAUGGGUAGUGGGUGUAAAUUGCAAAUGACUUUUUUUUACCUCAGAAUCUAUCAUCAACUACUUUAAAAAUGAAUAUUAUUGUUUCGGAGAGUGCCAUCUGGUAGCUUUCAGCUAUCAGCUCUGCAAGGCUCAGGCAGGUUAGACCUGGGGAAGCACAAAAUCACUUUUGUGCUUGAUGCUCAUCUUACACUAAGGUUGUGGAGGCUUUUGGUCAGGCACUGCCUUUGUUUGCUUUCUUCGUUUUUAUGCAGCUAGGUAACAUAGCUGGGCCCAGCUCCACGGAGGACAUCUUGGGCAUGACUGCACUGCAACACAAAAAUCAUUACAACCAGACAAUCAGCUCUCAGACCAUGCCAGGGUCUGCUUUUUCUUUGAAAGGGAGUUGAAGCACUCGUGGAGGUUUAAUCGAAAUCUGAAUACGUGUGACUGAAAUUGGCUCCCUGUGAUUAUUUAUACAAGUAAAUCUCUGCUUCUCACAAGUUCCCAGAAAUCAAAUGCCAAACUUGUAUGAUCUUUUUUUUUUUUAAAGAAGCAAAUAUUUGUUGAAAAUUCUUUGCUGUAUUAAUUUUCCUCCGCCUUCUCUCAGGCAGCCCUGAUAGCGACGGAGAGACUCCUGGUGUGCAUCAAUCAACCUAGGAAAGAGGGACCAAAAUAGCUGAUUACUAGGUCUGUAAUGUCUUAUCCUCAGAAAGAAACCAAAUUUUCAGUUAGCUUUUAGAAUGGUUUGUUUUCCUCAUAUAUCUGCAUGCCCAACUAAAAUCUUCCAGGAAAUGAUCCUUAUUUCAACAGUAGGUAUGUCAGGUACAGGUAUUUUAAGGAGGAGGUAGUUUAAGCCAAGGGCUGCAUAUUUCCAUGUUUUCCUAACCCCCAGUUGAAAACCCAUCUGCUGGUAAGUGGUUUAUAACUUGACAGUCAGCCACCACUAUUUUUUAAAAUGUUCUACAAUGUUUAUAAUGUCAGUCCCUAUUGCUAACCUUUUAUUUUUUUUUCCUUUUACUUUCUUUACUUUCUCUCUUUUUUUUUUUUUUAUGGUAACCUUUUACCUUCUCUUUCCCUGCUCAGACCCAUUAGCAGGAUGUUGUGCAAUAUGGUGCUUGUCAUCUGUUUCAAAGACACAGUGAUGAGAUACAGGUAUGCCAGAUGGAUAAACCUAGUGUGACUAAUUAUUGUGUAUUUGCCUUUAAUUAUUAUCAUUUAUUACCAGAGAAAAGACAAUAGAGGUUCCCAGACUCGGAAGGGAAUGUCGGCAGAAGGGGAAUUUUUGUCUCUUUGGGUUUUUUGUUUUUUUUUUUUUCCAAGAGACUGGCACAUCAGCAAGAAAAGUUUACUUGAAGAGAAAUACUGCAAGAUAUCUGAGACAAAAGGAGACAACAUGACCCAAGCAAUACUUUCCUUUCCCUGGCACAUACUUGAGGAUCAGAUCUCUCACAGAUGCCUACUGAGGACAGACACUUCACUUAAUUCAGAACCCACAGCCUGGCCUGCUGGAUGAUUUUGAAGGAGUCUAGAUGGUUGACAAUGUUAAAAUCUUCGGGACAGCUUGAAAAGUAUUUGCUACUAUUGCUCUGGAGUUAAAAGUUACCUUGAAAACGUUUCUCCAUGGUAGUAAUCGAGGUGAUUCUUCCAUCGCUUCUCAAAAAUGGCAGUAUAUCAUUCCUAUCUUUCCUCCUCAAACUCUGCCCAGCAGGUUUCUGAAGACCUUUUUAAGGUGUCUUUGGGAUAACAGGGACCAGCAAACAACUUGUGACCCAAAAGAGAAAUAGCAGCAGUAGCAACAGGACUCUCCUCCAAUGCUCGUGAUGAUGUUUUGGAAAACUGUCUUAGGAAUUGCAGUGCUGGUAGAAUUGUUGAGGGAGUUUUUCUUCUGAAAAUCUCUGGGGAUCAGAUUUGGGCUUUGCAAUGCAACAUCUCAUCCAGGAGAUGUAGAAAUCAGAAUCACAUCAUCCUCUGAUGUUUAAGUUGCUUCAAAGCCAACUGCAAUGUGUACAACAACACAUUGAAACCCUCCACCAAGCCGCCUUCCCUGGUGAUUUUGUGAGCAACCUCUGGAUGAGAUAGCUUUAUUGGAAUUGUUGUUCUUCUAUGUGGCCAAAGGGAAGUGAACUGGAUGAACAUUCUGCUGUGCCACACAGACCAGCCAAUGCACUCCACGUGUGUGCAGCAGGUUGAACACCUUCCUGAGAAAAACAGGAUUUCUGCAUGGAUGGAGGAUGAGCACUCAGACGCACACCUGAACUCUGCAGCAUCAUGUUCAAAGUGCUGACAGCAUUGCCUCACCAUCCAUCUUGGGCACAACUCCUUCUUCAAGUUAAAGUUUUCUACCUGUCUCAACCAAAUAGAGAGAUUCAAACCAACGUUUUAGCUGGACAACACCAGGAGUGAAAAUUAUCUCAGCCUUCUGCUUCUUCCAGUGUGUCUUUAUGGGCCUGAAGUCAGUCUCUUUCCUGUGCAAAUAAAGGUAUUUCCCUGUCAUCCCAUGUGAAGGGCUGGUCAGUACAAAGCAAAUAAAUGACACUCAUGGAUGUUGGAUCAUGUGUCACCUUGUCUGAUGUGCCUCCAGAUUUGCUGAGAAUGUCACCAUGAAUGUCCAUUGGCAAACUGGAUAAGAAAGAGUGUCACAGUGCAGGACAACCUAGAAGAUGACAGGUAUUUCCAGGCAUAGCAAUGAUGAGAUCAAAUUCCCCUCAACCUGCCUUGUUUGCUGAUCCUUUAAUCAGAUUCAACUUCAUAGCAGCUACAGCACAAGGUUCCCUGACAAUGUAUGACAGCAUGUGACAGGAAAAUAUUUUUUUUUUUUCUUUUUUGGCCAUUUGAUGCUAUUUGAGAUAAAUCUGAAGCCCCAGCAGCAUCUGAUAAAUCUACCAAACUACUUUAGUGGAGGUUUUUUAACUAUGCAUAAUUGAACUGCAGGGUUUGGGGUUCGUGUUCAUGUGUUUGUAGUGGAAUCCAAGCAGGAAGGCUGGGAAAUGAUCUAAACCCUUUGAGGUUAACCAGCCAUGAAAGAGCAUCAACGACAGAAGAGGACAUUAUUAAAAAGCAGCCAGCCUCACUCAAAAAGAACCACUGUGUGAAGCCAGAGCUGGAAGAACAACACCCAGGGCUGUUUGUGGUCCUGCAGGGAUAUGUAUUUCAUCCCCCGUCUUCAUCUCCAAAUUUCCUCUGAACUGCUUCUGAGCUGAAUUCUUGAGAAAGGAAAACACCAGCAAAUUUUAAAUGGGACUUAUCAACCUUUUCCCUACAAUCUGCUUCAUAUUCCCCUCACACCCAUGUUCUUGCAGUGUCUUGGGGAAAUGCUUGGAUCAAAGAUAAGAGAGAACAAGGAAAGGAGUGAAGCAAGAAACAAACAACAAAACAAAACCAGCACUCCCGAAAUUUUUUGAUGAAACUCCUCUGCGAAUCGUGUGCAUGGUUACAGCAAAGUUAAAACUGCCUUCUUCUUCACCAGUACUUAAUUCCUGCUUUUAAAAUCAGGCUCCCUUUGAUCUUCAGGAUUGAAAUGAUCUGGAAAUGAAACAGCCAGUGCCUUGCAGAAAAUCUGGAGAGGGUCCCAGACAUGGCUUUUACCUGGAAGUCUUCCAAAACAGGAUGAAAUCUCUCUGGUUUCAGAACAAAUUGCAAGAUUUUUUCUCCAUGUCUAGUCCAACUGUGGAACUCUAGCCCUGAUGUCUGCUGCUUCCCAAAGCACAGAUGUAAUAACCUCUGAGGUGAAAUGAGAGCAUUAUUCCCCCUUCUUCUCCCCUCUGCCUCUCCUCCGAGGGUUGAGGGCUGAGAGAAUUUUAUUAAAGUGAAGGCUUAAAGAUUUGGGCAGACUUAAUUUGAGGAGACAGUUGGUUAUAACCCAGUCUAGGGCCAUCCAUGUGAAGGCUGGAGAGGACAGAGCACCAGGAGCAUCUGUGACAUCUGGAUCAUGUUGAAAGCUCAGAAAUAUCUGCCUGGCUUCGCGUGACCUGGCCCCAGCCAAAAGGGCUGAGAAAUGUGGUUAAGAGACUGCAGCAAGUUUUGCCCUAGCAAAUGAGUCCCACUGAGAAAGCAAGCACAUAAAUAUUUCUCUGAGUCUGUUUCUUUUAGUGAAUAUAUUUCCAUAUGUUGCAUUAAUAUUUCUUUUAUUGUGUCUUGUAAGUCCAUCUGGUAUUUGUAUUGGGAGGGCUUGAGCUGGCAAAUCCCUGCACUGCUGUUACACACAAAUCUGGACAGCCCUUACAAGGACAGAUUCUCCCAGCACUUCUAUUAUGCAGCAGUAUUAGCAAGUAUCCACUCUGGACUGCAUCCAUGUAUGAAUUUACAGUUCUUGAGAACUUUCCUGCAUCUUAGCAAAAAAUGAAGAGAGGAUAUUUAUUAAAGCAAUAUUCCAGCUAGACCCCCUCAACAACCUGUGCCUGGAGCCUUAUCCAUUAUAAUAUAUGCAGCAAAAAGUCCAAACUGAAACUUACUCAUCUUCUCUGAAUUCUGGCAAAGUUUAAAGUGGACACAAGCUCAGGAAGGAAUCCUACUCCUGCAGCAAACCUUCUCCCCAGAACCUCCCCAGUCCUGCAGAAGCUCACACUUGGGCCUGAGCUGUCCAUCUUCCAAACAUGCAUCCAUCUUCCAGAAACAUCCUUAGGCAUCCUGUGGGCUCUGCUCUGCCUUAAACCUCACAUU